This 205-nucleotide long non-coding RNA is filed under the name Elaeis guineensis (African oil palm). RNAcentral describes it as "long non-coding RNA (EGUI_LNC061315)". Lineage: Eukaryota; Viridiplantae; Streptophyta; Magnoliopsida; Arecales; Arecaceae. The record is from RNAcentral.
UCUUCAGGGGGUGAUAUGUCGAUUCCUGCCUUCUCACGCGUGCAUGCCCAGAACGAGAUACUUUUUGCAUCUCUUCACACAUCAGAUUAGUGUAAAAUUUUUCCACAAAAACCUUUAUUCAAAAAGAAAGGCCAUCACUAAAUGACAUAUUAUUUGGACACAUUAUUUGGAUAAGAGUUCAUAUGUGGGAAGGAUUCUUCACCAA